UUACGGCCACAUCACAUUGAAACACCGAUUCCCGUACGACCACUGAAGUUAAGCAACGUCGAGUGUGGUCAGUACCUAGAUGAGUGACUGCUGGGAAUACUAAGUGUUGUAAG
This is a non-coding RNA of Acanthosepion pharaonis, 113 nucleotides long. Lineage: Eukaryota; Metazoa; Mollusca; Cephalopoda; Sepiida; Sepiidae. The record is from the annotation of a GenBank genome assembly.